GAUGAACGCUGGCGGCGUGCCUAGUACAUGCAAGUCGAGCGAACGGACGAGAAGCUUGCUUCUCUGAUGUUAGCGGCGGACGGGUGAGUAACACGUGGAUAACCUACCUAUAAGACUGGGAUAACUUCGGGAAACCGGAGCUAAUACCGGAUAAUAUUUUGAACCGCAUGGUUCAAAAGUGAAAGACGGUCUUGCUGUCACUUAUAGAUGGAUCCGCGCUGCAUUAGCUAGUUGGUAAGGUAACGGCUUACCAAGGCAACGAUGCAUAGCCGACCUGAGAGGGUGAUCGGCCACACUGGAACUGAGACACGGUCCAGACUCCUACGGGAGGCAGCAGUAGGGAACCUUCCGCAAUGGGCGAAAGCCUGACGGAGCAACGCCGCGUGAGUGAUGAAGGUCUUCGGAUCGUAAAACUCUGUUAUUAGGGAAGAACAUAUGUGUAAGUAACUGUGCACAUCUUGACGGUACCUAAUCAGAAAGCCACGGCUAACUACGUG
RNAcentral lists this ribosomal RNA (497 nucleotides) under uncultured bacterium. RNAcentral's name for it is "partial 16S ribosomal RNA". It matches the Rfam family "Bacterial small subunit ribosomal RNA", at positions 28 to 507 of the family's 1533-position model. The record is from RNAcentral.